GAUGAACGCUGGCGGCGUGCCUAAUACAUGCAAGUCGAGCGAACAGAUCAUGAGCUUGCUCCUUUGACGUUAGCGGCGGACGGGUGAGUAACACGUGUGUAACCUACCUAUAAGUCUGGUAUAACUCCGGGAAACCGGGGCUAAUGCCGGAUAACAUUUAGAACCGCAUGGUUCUAUAGUGAAAUAUGGUUUUACUAUCACUUAUAGAUGGACCCGCGCCGUAUUAGCUAGUUGGUAAGGUAACGGCUUACCACGGCAACGAUACGUAGCCGACCGGAGAGGGGGAUAGGCCACACUGGAACUGAGACGCGGUCCAGACGACUACGGGAGGCAGCAGUAGGGAAUCGUACGCAAUGGGCGAAAGCCUGACGGAGCAACGCCGCGUGAGUGAUGAAGGUCUUCGGAUCGUAAAACUCUGUUAUUAGGGAAGAACAAAUGUGUAAGUAACUGUGCACGUCUUGACGGUAACUAAUCAGAAAGCCACGGCUAACUACGUG
This 497-nucleotide ribosomal RNA is filed under the name uncultured bacterium. RNAcentral describes it as "partial 16S ribosomal RNA". It matches the Rfam family "Bacterial small subunit ribosomal RNA", at positions 28 to 507 of the family's 1533-position model. The record is from RNAcentral.